GAUGAACGCUGGCGGCGUGCCUAAUACAUGCAAGUCGAGCGAACAGAUGAGGAGCUUGCUCCUCUGACGUUAGCGGCGGACGGGUGAGUAACACGUGGAUAACCUACCUAUAAGACUGGGAUAACUUCGGGAAACCGGAGCUAAUACCGGAUAAUAUAUUGAACCGCAUGGUUCAAUAGUGAAAGACGGUUUUGCUGUCACUUAUAGAUGGAUCCGCGCCGCAUUAGCUAGUUGGUAAGGUAACGGCUUACCAAGGCAACGAUGCGUAGCCGACCUGAGAGGGUGAUCGGCCACACCGGAACUGAGACACGGUCCAGACUCCUACGGGAGGCAGCAGUAGGGAAUCUUCCGCAAAGGGCGAAAGCCUGACGGAGCAACGCCGCGUGAGUGAUGAAGGUCUUCGGAUCGUAAAACUCUGUUAUUAGGGAAGAACAAAUGUGUAAGUAACUAUGCACGUCUUGACGGUACCUAAUCAGAAAGCCACGGCUAACUACGUG
RNAcentral lists this ribosomal RNA (497 nucleotides) under uncultured bacterium. RNAcentral's name for it is "partial 16S ribosomal RNA". It matches the Rfam family "Bacterial small subunit ribosomal RNA", at positions 28 to 507 of the family's 1533-position model. The record is from RNAcentral.